Molecule: ribosomal RNA, 527 nt
Filed under: uncultured bacterium
Lineage: Bacteria
Description: bacterial SSU rRNA
Rfam family: Bacterial small subunit ribosomal RNA
Source: RNAcentral
GGGAAUUUUGGACAAUGGGCGCAAGCCUGAUCCAGCAAUGCCGCGUGAGUGAAGAAGGCCUUCGGGUUGUAAGGCUCUUUUGUCAGGGAAGAAACGGUUCCGGCUAAUAUCCGGAAUCAAUGACGGUACCUGAAGAAUAAGCACCGGCUAACUACGUGCCAGCAGCCGCGGUAAUACGUAGGGUGCAAGCGUUAAUCGGAAUUACUGGGCGUAAAGCGUGCGCAGGCGGUUUUGUAAGUCUGUCGUGAAAUCCCCGGGCUCAACCUGGGAGUUGCGAUGGAGACUGCAAGGCUAGAAUCUGGCAGAGGGGGGUAGAAUUCCACGUGUAGCAGUGAAAUGCGUAGAGAUGUGGAGGAACACCGAUGGCGAAGGCAGCCCCCUGGGUCAAGAUUGACGCUCAUGCACGAAAGCGUGGGGAGCAAACAGGAUUAGAUACCCUGGUAGUCCACGCCCUAAACGAUGUCUACUAGUUGUCGGGUUUUAAUUAACUUGGUAACGCAGCUAACGCGUGAAGUAGACCGCCUGGG